AGAAUGGAAGUUGCAUGAGAGGAGGAACCUUUACCUGUUUUGUUCAUUGUUAUAUUCCAAGUUCCUAGAACAGAUUUUGGUAUACAUCCAGAGAUCAACACUUUCCUCAUACUAUACACUUUAUCAUAAUGAGAACCAGUGAAGAAAUAAGAUUAAUUGAAUGGAGGUAGAAAAGUAUAGAGCUGUAUAUAAUAAGCUUCGCUAUGAACAUACAUUUCUCAAGUCAGAAUUUGAACACCAG
RNAcentral lists this long non-coding RNA (241 nucleotides) under Homo sapiens (human). Its description in RNAcentral is "non-protein coding lnc-TMCC3-8:1". Lineage: Eukaryota; Metazoa; Chordata; Mammalia; Primates; Hominidae. The record is from RNAcentral.